RNAcentral lists this ribosomal RNA (253 nucleotides) under uncultured bacterium. RNAcentral describes it as "partial 16S ribosomal RNA". It matches the Rfam family "Bacterial small subunit ribosomal RNA", at positions 524 to 776 of the family's 1533-position model. The record is from RNAcentral.
UACGAAGGGCGCAAGCGUUAAUCGGAAUUACUGGGCGUAAAGCGAGUGCAGGCGGUUGCGUGUGUCGGAUGUGAAAGCCCCGGGCUCAACCUGGGAAUGGCAUUCGAAACUGCGUAACUAGAGUAUGGUAGAGGAAGAUGGAAUUCCACGUGUAGCGGUGAAAUGCGUAGAGAUGUGGAGGAACACCAAUGGCGAAGGCAAUCUUCUGGGCCAAUACUGACGCUGAGGCUCGAAAGCGUGGUUAGCAAACAGG